This is a long non-coding RNA of Sorghum bicolor (sorghum), 135 nucleotides long. RefSeq lists it as uncharacterized. The transcript is spliced from 3 exons. The record is from RefSeq and is a predicted model, not a curated record. Lineage: Eukaryota; Viridiplantae; Streptophyta; Magnoliopsida; Poales; Poaceae.
UUUGAUCUAAGAUUGCAAUUCUUCCAUGUUUCCGCAGUAGCAUAUUGUUCCAUGGAGCUAGGGUCCAAAAUAGGAAUCAACAAGUGUUUCCACGACUCUACCGCCCGGCCAAUCCUGUUCCACUGAAUCCCCUGA